CCCACCACUACAGCUGUAGGUAUCUCCCCACCACUACAGCUGUUAUGUAUCUCCCCACCACUACAGCUGUAGGUAUCUCCCCACCAUUACAGCUGUUAUGUAUCUCCCCACCACUACAGCUGUAGGUAUCUCCCCACCACUACAGCUGUUAUGUAUCUCCCCACCA
Long non-coding RNA from Oncorhynchus keta (chum salmon), 166 nucleotides. RefSeq lists it as uncharacterized. NCBI's taxonomy places the organism in Eukaryota, Metazoa, Chordata, Actinopteri, Salmoniformes, Salmonidae. The transcript has 3 exons. The record is from RefSeq and is a predicted model, not a curated record.